Molecule: ribosomal RNA, 24 nt
Filed under: Mallotus miquelianus
Lineage: Eukaryota; Viridiplantae; Streptophyta; Magnoliopsida; Malpighiales; Euphorbiaceae
Description: partial 28S ribosomal RNA
Source: RNAcentral
GCGACCCCAGAUCAGGCGGGACUA